Long non-coding RNA from Meriones unguiculatus (Mongolian gerbil), 2359 nucleotides. RefSeq lists it as uncharacterized. The record is from RefSeq and is a predicted model, not a curated record. The transcript has 2 exons. Lineage: Eukaryota; Metazoa; Chordata; Mammalia; Rodentia; Muridae.
GCCCUGUGGCUGUGGGAAGGAGCCUGCAACAUGGCAGGGUUCAUCUAUCCUCAGGUUCGUGUGAUCCCCACUUGUUGGGAUGGGCAGAGUGACAUGGGGUGGUGUCUUAGGGUCACCAUUGCUGUGGCGAGACACCAUGGCCAAAGCAACUUGGGAAGGAAAGGGCUGAUUUAGCUUGCAUUUCCACUUCAUCAUCAAAGGGAGUCAGGACAGCAACUCCAACAGGGCAGGAACUUGGAGACCUAGCUUUCUCUCCCUCCUUCCAUCACAUUCCCUUUCUUCCCCACCCCCUCUUGCUCCAUUUCUCUCAGGCUGGCCUUGAACUCUGUGCAGCCGAGGUUGGCUUUGAACUCCUUAUCUUUCUGCUUCUUGGCUAGUGUUAGGAUUACAGAUGUGUACCACUACCCCUGGCUCUGGGGUCUGCACUUUAAAUGAUACAAAUUAAACAACCAAGUUUAUUUCUGGAUAUGGCAAACCGGGACUGAAUGGGGAGAUGGAAGCCAGGUCAAGGGGUUGCUGCUGGGCAUGCAAGGAAGAAGGAUCUUCAUCGUAACAGAUGAGUUUAGAGGAAGGGAAGACACAGAGAUGAGACAAAAACAACAGCAACAAGAAAAAGUAGACUGAAAUAAGAUCUAGCCAGGCAUAGUAGCGCUCUACUGUGAUCCCAGUUCUUGAGGCAAGACCAGCAUAAAGAAAGGCUAUCCUUGGCUACAUAGUGAGUUCAAGCCUGGGCUACACAAGACUGCUUCAGGGGAUCAGGGCAGCGGGGUAGUGGUAGUGGCGAUGGGAAGGAAUAGUGGACUUUAAAAAUGAAGCCUGUUGGGGGGGGGGGGUGAGUCAGGUUCGUAAUUUCUGCCUUUACAGGAAUGGCUGUGAAAAGACAAAAAACUACUCCUAGAAAUUUGAAGGAGCAGGUACAGGGCACAGAGAGAAGCCCCCAGGAAGCGAAUGAGAAGGAACAAAAGAAUACGCUCUGGCUGUCACUUCACGUGCCAUCAGUGACGGGGACCUGGGAGAUCUGGAGCAGAGAAGCAAGCGACCGAAGCACUCAAGAAGAAGAGCCUGUCUUUGCUGAGGGACCUGGUGAGACACACUGGACAGGGUCUCUCUGUGUAGCCCUGGCUGUCCUGGACCUCUCUAUAGACCAGGCUGGCCUCAAACUCAAGAGGUCUGCCUGCCUCUGCCUCCUGAGUGCUGGGAUUACAAGUGUGCGCCACCAUGUCCAGCCCUAGGAAGUGUGUGUGUGUGUGUGUGUGUGUGUGUGUGUGUGUGUGUCUGCGCCCACACAGCCUUUAAUCUGGUAAGUUUCCUCUCAGGUGGAGCCCAUCCAGAACUGGGCUUGGCAGGAUGGAAGCUGUGGCACUGAAGCGGGAAUCUUCCGUGACCACCAUUUCCUGCCUCGCUCCUGCUGCAGCUGAGUCCUUGUAGUGGCCUGGAGUCUUCGUGUGGCCUGGAUUCCAUGCCUGGUCUCUGAUCAAAAGUGGCAGAUUGGGAAUAUUCAUUUCUUCUCACUACCUUUUCUGCCUUUUGCAUUGUUGGUUUCAACCCCAAGGUCUAACACGAGACAAAUGGUGUAAACUGAGUCACACCCAACCUGUGUUCUUUCUCAGGAACUCUCAUCAGAUGUAAAGAGAAACAGGCAAACAGGCUAGGAGUGGUGGCACACACCUGCAGCCCCAGAACUCAGGAGGCAUAGGUUGAGGACCAGGAGUCCAGAGUCAGUGUAUCAGGGUUCUCUGAGGAGCAAAUAGAAUGAAUACACGCGCGUGCAUACACACACACACACACACAUUUUAUAUAUAUAAAGGGGAUUUAUUAGAAUGGCUUAUAGGCUGUGGUCCAGCUAGUCUGACAAUGGCUGUCUACCAACAAAAGGUCCAAGAAUCCAGUAGCUGUCCAGUCCAGGAGGCUGUGCGUCUCAGCUGGUCUUCAAUAUAUGCUGGAGGCUCAAAGUACACUGCAGUGCCAUGGAAGGAAUGGACUUGCCAGAAAGAACAGGCAGGCAAAGAGAGCAAGCCUCCUCCUUCCACGUCCUUAAAGGUGGAUCUUCCCACCGCAAAAGAACUGGAUUAUAAACCGGUCAGAUGAUUUAAUUAAGAAAAAAAAAAUCCCUCACAGCUGUUUUAGUGUGACCAGCUAUUUUAGUUAAUUCUAGAUUAACUAAAUUGACAACCAAGAACAGGCACCACAGUCAUUGUCUGCUGUUUUGAGAUUCUGAGGCCAGCCUGGGCUACAGGAGACCACAUUUCAAAAGAUAAAAACAAACAAAAAUAACCAAAACUCCAAAAGCAAUAGGAAAAGGGAACUGGCAACCGAAGGGAGCGUUUUCACAUUAAUUAAAGUGAACAUCCCAAUUGCA